ACCGAGAAUUUGAGGAAUUCCCAUUUUUGUAUAGCUCCUUUUGUGGCUAGACGGAGGUUCACAAUAUGGUGAUCACUUGAAGGACUACAGGAGAUACUGGCCUCUGUACUGUGUUCAAGUAUGGAGUCUGUAACUAACCAAUAAUCAAUUCUUGAUCUUGCCUGUCCAUUCGGUUUAAACCAAGUAUACUGCCUGAUGUUAGGAUUAAAAUAUCUCCAAGCAUCAGUAAGUCUGCAUUCAUUCAUAAAGUUUCGCAUAACUGGAUUUAAAGUUGCCUGUGAAUAUUUUGAUGGGUAUCUGUCCAGCCACUCAUCUGGCGUUAAAUUAAAAUCACCCGCAACGGCAACAUGUUGAGUGGGAUAAUUUUGUUGUAGCUUCUCAAUGACUGAUGUGACCUGCUGUAAUAGCUGUUUGUUUUUCUGAUCGUUAUUGUAUCCAUAAACAUUAACAACAAUAAACAAACUGUUAUCAAUA
Molecule: long non-coding RNA, 474 nt
Organism: Melanotaenia boesemani (Boeseman's rainbowfish)
Lineage: Eukaryota; Metazoa; Chordata; Actinopteri; Atheriniformes; Melanotaeniidae
Exons: 2
Source: RefSeq, a predicted model, not a curated record